Molecule: long non-coding RNA, 255 nt
Filed under: Rosa chinensis
Lineage: Eukaryota; Viridiplantae; Streptophyta; Magnoliopsida; Rosales; Rosaceae
Description: sRNA RchiOBHm_Chr7g0224091
Source: RNAcentral
GUUCUCCGACCCGACCUCGUCCUUCAACGAUCCGAGCCACCUUCAGCUCCUUCAUCGACCCAGAACAGCCUCGAUCGACCACGACCACGAACUCCUUCAGCGAGCUCAUUCAAUGACCUGACCACGAACUCAUUCUCCCACCUGAGCUCGUCAUUGUCCGACUUGAGCCGGCUUGAGGUAGUUCUCCGAUCGCCACCAUCGUAGAUCGACAUCAUGAAAUUGGGGAGUUUGAAGGCUAGGACCUAUUAAUUUGGA